RNAcentral lists this ribosomal RNA (840 nucleotides) under uncultured bacterium. RNAcentral's name for it is "bacterial SSU rRNA". It matches the Rfam family "Bacterial small subunit ribosomal RNA", at positions 45 to 893 of the family's 1533-position model. The record is from RNAcentral.
GGCCUAAUACAUGCAAGUCGAACGGUUGUCAGCAAUGGCAAUAGUGGCGCACGGGUGCGUAACGCGUAACCAACCUACCCGAAUCUGGGGGAUAGCCCGCCGAAAGGCGGAUUAAUACCGCAUAAAACUGCAGGACGGCAUCGUUUAACAGUUAAAGAUUUAUUGGAUUCGGAUGGGGUUGCGUGCCAUUAGCUAGUUGGGGGGGUAACGGCCCACCAAGGCGACGAUGGCUAGGGGAGCUGAGAGGCUGGUCCCCCACACGGGCACUGAGAUACGGGCCCGACUCCUACGGGAGGCAGCAGUAGGGAAUAUUGGGCAAUGGUCGAGAGACUGACCCAGCCAUGCCGCGUGCAGGAUGAAGGCUUUCUGAGUCGUAAACUGCUUUUGCCAGGGAAGAAAAAAGGGGAUGCGUCCUCUACUGACGGUACCUGGUGAAUAAGCACCGGCUAACUCCGUGCCAGCAGCCGCGGUAAUACGGAGGGUGCAAGCGUUGUCCGGAUUUAUUGGGUUUAAAGGGUGCGUAGGCGGCUUUUUAAGUCUGGGGUGAAAGCCCGUUGCUCAACAACGGAACUGCCCUGGAAACUGGAGAGCUUGAGUACAGACGAGGGUGGCGGAAUGGAUACUGUAGCGGUGAAAUGCAUAGAUAGUAUCCAGAACCCCGAUUGCGAAGGCAGCUGCCUAGACUGUAACUGACGCUGAGGCACGAAAGCGUGGGGAGCGAACAGGAUUAGAUACCCUGGUAGUCCACGCCGUAAACGAUGGAUACUCGCUGGUGGCGACAGACGGUCACUGGCUUAGCGAAAGCGUUAAGUAUCCCACCUGGGGAGUACGCUCGCAAGA